AUUGAACGCUGGCGGCAUGCCUAACACAUGCAAGUCGAACGGCAGCACAGCAGUAGCAAUACUGUGGGUGGCGAGUGGCGGACGGGUGAGGAAUACGUCGGAAUCUGCCCAGUCGUGGGGGAUAACUAGCCGAAAGGUUAGCUAAUACCGCAUACGACCGAGAGGUGAAAGCGGGGGACCGCAAGGCCUCGCGCGAUUGGAUGAGCCGACGUCGGAUUAGCUAGUUGGCGGGGUAAAGGCCCACCAAGGCGACGAUCCGUAGCUGGUCUGAGAGGAUGAUCAGCCACACUGGAACUGAGACACGGUCCAGACUCCUACGGGAGGCAGCAGUGGGGAAUAUUGGACAAUGGGCGCAAGCCUGAUCCAGCCAUGCCGCGUGAGGGAAGAAGGUCCUCUGGAUUGUAAACCUCUUUUGGCAGGAAACAAACCUGCGCUAUACGCGCAGCUGAGGGUACCUGCAGAAUAAGCACCGGCUAACUCCG
Molecule: ribosomal RNA, 482 nt
Filed under: uncultured bacterium
Lineage: Bacteria
Description: bacterial SSU rRNA
Rfam family: Bacterial small subunit ribosomal RNA
Source: RNAcentral